CUGUUAUUUAUUAUUUUGAUGGAAUAACCUAUCUAUGCGAAGUACCGCAUGCAUGGUGAUUUCUUUUGUUAUUCCAUUCUUUAUUAUACUCAGUUGGUUAAAGUUUUAACUUCUACACUCCAUGAAAUUAGUGGAAUAUUCUUGAUAUUUGCGCUUCAUCCAGUAUCUUUUCAUGGAAAUAUUCUUCUGAGCAUUCUUGAAUUUU
This 205-nucleotide long non-coding RNA is filed under the name Panax ginseng (ginseng). Its description in RNAcentral is "long non-coding RNA (PGIN_LNC005800)". The record is from RNAcentral. Lineage: Eukaryota; Viridiplantae; Streptophyta; Magnoliopsida; Apiales; Araliaceae.